Molecule: ribosomal RNA, 250 nt
Filed under: uncultured bacterium
Lineage: Bacteria
Description: partial 16S ribosomal RNA
Rfam family: Bacterial small subunit ribosomal RNA
Source: RNAcentral
UACGAAGGGGGGCUAGCGUUGCUCGGAAUCACUGGGCGUAAAGCGCACGUAGGCGGCUUUCUAAGUCAGGGGUGAAAUCCUGGAGCUCAACUCCAGAACUGCCUUUGAUACUGGAAAGCUUGAGUUCGGGAGAGGUGAGUGGAACUGCGAGUGUAGAGGUGAAAUUCGUAGAUAUUCGCAAGAACACCAGUGGCGGAAGGCGACUCACUGGACACGUAUGACGCUGAGGUGCGAAAGCGUGGGGAGCAAA